This 1540-nucleotide ribosomal RNA is filed under the name Bacillus sp. YAS1. Its description in RNAcentral is "16S ribosomal RNA". It matches the Rfam family "Bacterial small subunit ribosomal RNA". Lineage: Bacteria; Bacillati; Bacillota; Bacilli; Caryophanales; Bacillaceae. The record is from RNAcentral.
AGAGUUUGAUCCUGGCUCAGGACGAACGCUGGCGGCGUGCCUAAUACAUGCAAGUCGAGCGAAUCUUUGGGAGCUUGCUCCUAAAGGUUAGCGGCGGACGGGUGAGUAACACGUGGGCAACCUGCCUGUAAGACUGGGAUAACUCCGGGAAACCGGGGCUAAUACCGGAUAAUAUCUUUUUAUACAUAUAAUGAGAUUGAAAGAUGGUUCUGCUAUCACUUACAGAUGGGCCCGCGGCGCAUUAGCUAGUUGGUGAGGUAACGGCUCACCAAGGCGACGAUGCGUAGCCGACCUGAGAGGGUGAUCGGCCACACUGGGACUGAGACACGGCCCAGACUCCUGCGGGAGGCAGCAGUAGGGAAUCUUCCGCAAUGGACGAAAGUCUGACGGAGCAACGCCGCGUGAGUGAUGAAGGUUUUCGGAUCGUAAAACUCUGUUGUUAGGGAAGAACAAGUAUCGGAGUAACUGCCGGUACCUUGACGGUACCUAACCAGAAAGCCACGGCUAACUACGUGCCAGCAGCCGCGGUAAUACGUAGGUGGCAAGCGUUGUCCGGAAUUAUUGGGCGUAAAGCGCGCGCAGGCGGUUCUUUAAGUCUGAUGUGAAAGCCCACGGCUCAACCGUGGAGGGUCAUUGGAAACUGGGGAACUUGAGUGCAGAAGAGGANAGUGGAAUUCCAAGUGUAGCGGUGAAAUGCGUAGAGAUUUGGAGGAACACCAGUGGCGAAGGCGACUUUCUGGUCUGUAACUGACGCUGAGGCGCGAAAGCGUGGGGAGCAAACAGGAUUAGAUACCUGGUAGUCCACGCCGUAAACGAUGAGUGCUAAGUGUUAGAGGGUUUCCGCCCUUUAGUGCUGCAGCAAACGCAUUAAGCACUCCGCCUGGGGAGUACGACCGCAAGGUUGAAACUCAAAGGAAUUGACGGGGGCCCGCACAAGCGGUGGAGCAUGUGGUUUAAUUCGAAGCAACGCGAAGAACCUUACCAGGUCUUGACAUCCUCUGAAAUGCCUAGAGAUAGGACUUUCCCCUUCGGGGGACAGAGUGACAGGUGGUGCAUGGUUGUCGUCAGCUCGUGUCGUGAGAUGUUGGGUUAAGUCCCGCAACGAGCGCAACCCUUGAUCUUAGUUGCCAGCAUUCAGUUGGGCACUCUAAGGUGACUGCCGGUGACAAACCGGAGGAAGGUGGGGAUGACGUCAAAUCAUCAUGCCCCUUAUGACCUGGGCUACACACGUGCUACAAUGGAUGGUACAAAGGGCUGCAAGACCGCGAGGUUUAGCCAAUCCCAUAAAACCAUUCUCAGUUCGGAUUGUAGGCUGCAACUCGCCUACAUGAAGCCGGAAUCGCUAGUAAUCGCGGAUCAGCAUGCCGCGGUGAAUACGUUCCCGGGCCUUGUACACACCGCCCGUCACACCACGAGAGUUUGUAACACCCGAAGUCGGUGGGGUAACCUUUUGGAGCCAGCCGCCUAAGGUGGGACAGAUGAUUGGGGUGAAGUCGUAACAAGGUAGCCGUAUCGGAAGGUGCGGCUGGAUCACCUCCUU